RNAcentral lists this transfer RNA (71 nucleotides) under Frankia alni ACN14a. RNAcentral describes it as "Pseudo tRNA Evidence 2b : Function of strongly homologous gene; Product type n : RNA". Lineage: Bacteria; Bacillati; Actinomycetota; Actinomycetes; Frankiales; Frankiaceae. The record is from RNAcentral.
GCGGACGUUCCUGGACGGUAGGGACCGGCCUGAAAAGCGGAAGGUCGGCGGUUCGACCCCGCCCCUGCCCA